Molecule: transfer RNA, 85 nt
Filed under: Malonomonas rubra DSM 5091
Lineage: Bacteria; Pseudomonadati; Thermodesulfobacteriota; Desulfuromonadia; Desulfuromonadales; Geopsychrobacteraceae
Rfam family: tRNA
About the family: Transfer RNA (tRNA) molecules are approximately 80 nucleotides in length. Their secondary structure includes four short double-helical elements and three loops (D, anti-codon, and T loops). Further hydrogen bonds mediate the characteristic L-shaped molecular structure. tRNAs have two regions of fundamental functional importance: the anti-codon, which is responsible for specific mRNA codon recognition, and the 3' end, to which the tRNAs corresponding amino acid is attached (by aminoacyl-tRNA synthetases). tRNAs cope with the degeneracy of the genetic code in two manners: having more than one tRNA (with a specific anti-codon) for a particular amino acid; and 'wobble' base-pairing, i.e. permitting non-standard base-pairing at the 3rd anti-codon position.
Source: Rfam by way of RNAcentral
GGAGAGGUGACCGAGAGGCCGAUGGUGCUCGCCUGCUAAGCGAGUGUAGUGUAUGCUACCGGGGGUUCGAAUCCCCCCCUCUCCG